CUCCUACGGGAGGCAGCAGUGGGGAAUAUUGCACAAUGGGGGGAACCCUGAUGCAGCGACGCCGCGUGGGUGAAGAAGUCAUUCGUGACGUAAAGCCCUAUCAGCAGGGAAGAAAAUGACGGUACCUGACUAAGAAGCCCCGGCUAACUACGUGCCAGCAGCCGCGGUAAUACGUAGGGGGCAAGCGUUAUCCGGAUUUACUGGGUGUAAAGGGAGCGUAGACGGCGGCGCAAGUCCGGAGUGAAAGCCCACGGCCCAACCGUGGGACUGCAUUGGGAACUACCGGGCUGGAGUGCCGGAGAGGG
This 305-nucleotide ribosomal RNA is filed under the name uncultured bacterium. Its description in RNAcentral is "bacterial SSU rRNA". It matches the Rfam family "Bacterial small subunit ribosomal RNA", at positions 336 to 658 of the family's 1533-position model. The record is from RNAcentral.